This 669-nucleotide ribosomal RNA is filed under the name Nocardiopsis sp. EGI80243. Its description in RNAcentral is "bacterial SSU rRNA". It matches the Rfam family "Bacterial small subunit ribosomal RNA", at positions 89 to 759 of the family's 1533-position model. Lineage: Bacteria; Bacillati; Actinomycetota; Actinomycetes; Streptosporangiales; Nocardiopsidaceae. The record is from RNAcentral.
ACACGAGCGGCGAACGGGUGAGUAACACGUGAGCAACCUGCCCCUGACUCUGGGAUAAGCGGUGGAAACGCCGUCUAAUACCGGAUACGACCCGCCACCUCAUGGUGGAGGGUGGAAAGUUUUUCGGUCAGGGAUGGGCUCGCGGCCUAUCAGCUUGUUGGUGGGGUAACGGCCUACCAAGGCGAUUACGGGUAGCCGGCCUGAGAGGGCGACCGGCCACACUGGGACUGAGACACGGCCCAGACUCCUGCGGGAGGCAGCAGUGGGGAAUAUUGCGCAAUGGGCGAAAGCCUGACGCAGCGACGCCGCGUGGGGGAUGACGGCCUUCGGGUUGUAAACCUCUUUUACCACCAACGCAGGCUUCCAGUUCUCUGGAGGUUGACGGUAGGUGGGGAAUAAGGACCGGCUAACUACGUGCCAGCAGCCGCGGUAAUACGUAGGGUCCGAGCGUUGUCCGGAAUUAUUGGGCGUAAAGAGCUCGUAGGCGGCGUGUCGCGUCUGCUGUGAAAGACCGGGGCUUAACUCCGGUUCUGCAGUGGAUACGGGCAUGCUAGAGGUAGGUAGGGGAGACUGGAAUUCCUGGUGUAGCGGUGAAAUGCGCAGAUAUCAGGAGGAACACCGGUGGCGAAGGCGGGUCUCUGGGCCUUACCUGACGCUGAGGAGCGAAAG